GCAGUUAAAGCUCGUAGUCGGAUUUCAGUAUUAGGCCCUUCUCCCAAUAUGGUUGCUAGUGGUCUUUACUUCCUUAACAGAAUCUUUCAUCUCAUUAAUUUGGGGUGUUUGGGGCCUGUUUCUUUUACUUUGAGAAAAUUAGAGUGUUCAAAGCGGGUUUUCGCCUGGAUAUUACUCUUGGAAUAAUAAUAUAGGACUUUGGUUCUUUUUUGUUGGUGACUUAGAACCGAAGUAAUGAUUGAUAGGGACAGUUGGGGUCAUUCGUACUAUGAAGCGAGAGGUGAAAUUCUUGGACCUUUGUAUGACGAACUACUGCGAAAGCAUUUGACUAGGAUGUUCCCGUUGAUCAAGAACGAAAGUUGGGGGAUCGAAGACGAUCAGAUACCGUCGUAGUCUCAACCAUAAACUAUGCCAGCUAGGGAUUGGAGGAAGAUCUAUUUACGUCUCCUUCAGCACCUUAUGAGAAAUCAAAGCAUUUGGGUUCCGGGGGGAGUAUGGUCGCAAGGCUGAAACUUAAAGGAAUUGACGGGAGGGCACCACCAGGAGUGGAGCCUGCGGCUUAAUUUGAUUCAACACGGGAAAACUUACCAGGUCCGGACAUGGGAAGGAUUGACAGAUUGAAAGCUCUUUCUUGAUUCUAUGGGUGGUGGUGCAUGGCCGUUCUUAGUUGGUGGAGUGAUUUGUCUGGUUAAUUCCGUUAACGAACG
RNAcentral lists this ribosomal RNA (707 nucleotides) under uncultured eukaryote. RNAcentral's name for it is "SSU rRNA". It matches the Rfam family "Eukaryotic small subunit ribosomal RNA", at positions 615 to 1337 of the family's 1831-position model. The record is from RNAcentral.